RNAcentral lists this unclassified non-coding RNA (465 nucleotides) under uncultured fungus. RNAcentral describes it as "partial internal transcribed spacer 1". Lineage: Eukaryota; Fungi. The record is from RNAcentral.
GUAUAGAGUAGUGAAUCGCUACCGUUUAAUACAUGGGUGGUUAGCAGGGCGACGACGGCGGAAACGACAACCGGGCCGAGGGAAGCCAGCAUUAAGGUACCGAACAGGAUUUCCGCGAUAAACAGGCUGCCCGCCAGCGGCGCAUGGUAAGCGCCCGCCAUGCCCGCAGCGGCGCCGCUGGCGAUCCAUAAUUUCCAUUCCUCACGCGGCGUGAGGCGUCGGGCAAAGCUGGAUGCCGCCAGCGCGGCGAGGAGGAUCAUUGCGCCUUCGCGACCAAUUGCGCUGCCGCUGACCACGACCAGCAGCGAGGCCAGCGAUUUCACCAGACUGGCGCCAACGUCAAAUUGCCCGUCGGUUUGCAAUGCUUCCAUAUAGUCAGUGGGCGCAUGGGGGCGCUGUUGGUUCAUUUUUUGCCACCCCCACAGCAACAGACCAGCGGCCAGGCCGCCAAGCGCCGGCGUAAUC